RNAcentral lists this ribosomal RNA (700 nucleotides) under uncultured Pelagibacterales bacterium. Its description in RNAcentral is "bacterial SSU rRNA". It matches the Rfam family "Bacterial small subunit ribosomal RNA", at positions 112 to 848 of the family's 1533-position model. The record is from RNAcentral. Lineage: Bacteria; Pseudomonadati; Pseudomonadota; Alphaproteobacteria; Candidatus Pelagibacterales.
AUAAUGUGGGAAUCUGCCUUUUGGUUUGGAAUAACACGGGGAAACUUGUGCUAAUACCGAAUAAGCCCUUACGGGGAAAGUUUUAACGCCGAAAGAUGAGCCCGCACUUGAUUAGCUAGUUGGUAAGGUAAAAGCUUACCAAGGCAAUGAUCAAUAGCUGUUCUUAGAGGAAGACCAGCCACAUUGGGACUGAGACACGGCCCAGACUCCUACGGGAGGCAGCAGUGAGGAAUCUUGCACAAUGGGGGAAACCCUGAUGCAGCGAUGCCGCGUGAGUGAAGAAGGCCUUUGGGUUGUAAAACUCUUUCGUCGGGGAAGAAAAUGACUGUACCCGAAUAAGAAGGUCCGGCUAACUUCGUGCCAGCAGCCGCGGUAAUACGAAGGGACCUAGCGUAGUUCGGAAUUACUGGGCUUAAAGAGCUCGUAGGUGGUUAAAAAAGUUGAUGGUGAAAUCCCAAGGCUUAACCUUGGAACUGCCAUCAAAACUUUUUAGCUAGAGUGUGAUAGAGGUAAGUGGAAUUUCUAGUGUAGAGGUGAAAUUCGUAGAUAUUAGAAAGAACACCAAAUGCGAAGGCAACUUACUGGGUCACUACUGACACUGAGGAGCGAAAAGCAUGGGUAGCGAAGAGGAUUAGAUACCCUCGUAGUCCAUGCUGUAAACGAUGUGUGCUAGACGUUGGAAAUAUAUUUUUCAGUGUCG